AUACUUACCUGGCAGGGGAGAUACCAUGAUCACGAAGGUGGUUUUCCCAGGGAGAGGCUUAUCCACUGCACUCCAGAUGUACUGACCCCUGCGAUUUCCCCAAAUGUGGGAAACUCAACUGCAUAAUUUGUGGUAGUGGGGGACUGCAUUUGCACUCUCCCC
RNAcentral lists this small nuclear RNA (162 nucleotides) under Castor canadensis (American beaver). RNAcentral describes it as "U1 spliceosomal RNA (ENSCCNG00000003487.1)". It matches the Rfam family "U1 spliceosomal RNA". From Rfam's summary of the family: U1 is a small nuclear RNA (snRNA) component of the spliceosome (involved in pre-mRNA splicing). Its 5' end forms complementary base pairs with the 5' splice junction, thus defining the 5' donor site of an intron. The record is from Rfam by way of RNAcentral. Lineage: Eukaryota; Metazoa; Chordata; Mammalia; Rodentia; Castoridae.